RNAcentral lists this transfer RNA (96 nucleotides) under Clostridium sp. RNAcentral's name for it is "tRNA-Ser". It matches the Rfam family "tRNA". From Rfam's summary of the family: Transfer RNA (tRNA) molecules are approximately 80 nucleotides in length. Their secondary structure includes four short double-helical elements and three loops (D, anti-codon, and T loops). The record is from RNAcentral. Lineage: Bacteria; Bacillati; Bacillota; Clostridia; Eubacteriales; Clostridiaceae. RNAcentral also lists the same sequence under 2 other names.
GGAGAGAUGGCCGAGUCGGUCGAAGGCGGUCGCCUGCUAAGCGAUUAAGCGGGAUUAAAACCUGCUUCGAGGGUUCGAAUCCCUCUCUCUCCGCCA